GCCAAGCAUGGUGGCGGGUGCCUGUAAUCCCAGUGACUCGGAGGCUGAGGCAGGAGGAUCACAAGUUUGAGGCCAGUAGUGAGACCCUAAGCAACAUAUGGAAACCCUGUCUCAA
Molecule: small RNA, 115 nt
Filed under: Marmota monax (woodchuck)
Lineage: Eukaryota; Metazoa; Chordata; Mammalia; Rodentia; Sciuridae
Source: RNAcentral